Molecule: long non-coding RNA, 617 nt
Organism: Ooceraea biroi (clonal raider ant)
Lineage: Eukaryota; Metazoa; Arthropoda; Insecta; Hymenoptera; Formicidae
Source: RefSeq, a predicted model, not a curated record
UAAUAUUAAAACUAUAUACUAGUAUCAUAGUAUACAUAUAUUAGUAUGAUAGAUUCAUUGUACAAGAGCAAGGAAAAUCUGAGUAAUCUAUCCAACGUUGCAAUUUCUGCAUUUCUAAAAUAUCUCCACAUUUCUAUUUCAGAUCUGUAUACAGCAUCUGUGUUAUAUGCAUUUAUAAUUUUAUAUAUACAUAUCCACAACGACAAGAUAUUGAGGUAAAAGGAGCAUCUCAUUUCUACGUGUGUUAAUAUUCAAUGGACAAAACUUGUUACACAACAUAAUGAGGUAUAUGAGGAUACAGUGCCAUAUUGUUACCAAUGUAAGCAGACGUCUGCAUCUGCAGCCAAAGAUAACCAAAAGUAAAAAAAAAAGUCAAAUACAAUGUUCCAAUUUGAGUCUGUAGUGAAACAUAGUAGCAAUGUGAAGCCUUUUCUCUGGCGAACUCUACCCAAUUUUACCAAUGGCAACAUCAAUUUCGUCGUAAACGUACGUUAAGCUGCUCGCGAGUCUAACCUUGUCGAAACAACCAUGCCAUUUCAAUUUUUAAACAAACCAACAAGCGCAAGCCGGUUAUUGAUGUAUUUUUUACGGAAUAAUAAAACAAACUUGUAACAAAA